Molecule: long non-coding RNA, 223 nt
Filed under: Hordeum vulgare
Lineage: Eukaryota; Viridiplantae; Streptophyta; Magnoliopsida; Poales; Poaceae
Description: long non-coding RNA (HVUL_LNC017026)
Source: RNAcentral
AUUGAUGUUAUGUGUGAUCAAUAAAAACUUGUGCUUCUCAUCCAAUCUUUGUAGAACUAUGUUUAUGUGUGAUUGUGCACUUGUUGGGCCCUUUUGUUGUGCACCUGCACUUGUAGAACUAUUUUGUUGUGCACUUGUUGGGCCUUGAACCUUUAUGUGUAGAGGAGUCAAUGGAUGAUAUAUUGUAAUUCAUGUGAUGUGCUACUGAAAUGAAAUAUAUAUA